This 1371-nucleotide ribosomal RNA is filed under the name uncultured bacterium. RNAcentral's name for it is "bacterial SSU rRNA". It matches the Rfam family "Bacterial small subunit ribosomal RNA", at positions 28 to 1381 of the family's 1533-position model. The record is from RNAcentral.
GAUGAACGCUGGCGGCGUGCCUAAUACAUGCAAGUCGAGCGAACAGACGAGGAGCUUGCUCCUUUGACGUUAGCGGCGGACGGGUGAGUAACACGUGGGUAACCUACCUAUAAGACUGGGAUAACUUCGGGAAACCGGAGCUAAUACCGGAUAAUAUUUCGAACCGCAUGGUUCGAUAGUGAAAGAUGGCUUUGCUAUCACUUAUAGAUGGACCUGCGCCGUAUUAGCUAGUUGGUAAGGUAACGGCUUACCAAGGCAACGAUACGUAGCCGACCUGAGAGGGUGAUCGGCCACACUGGAACUGAGACACGGUCCAGACUCCUACGGGAGGCAGCAGUAGGGAAUCUUCCGCAAUGGGCGAAAGCCUGACGAAGCAACGUCGCGUGAGUGAUGAAGGUCUUCGGAUCGUAAAACUCUGUUAUUAGGGAAAAACAAACGUGUAAGUAACUGUGCACGUCUUGACGGUACCUAAUCAGAAAGCCACGGCUAUCUACGUGCCAGCAGCCGCGGUAAUACGUAGGUGGCAAGCGUUAUCCGGAAUUAUUGGGCGUAAAGCGCGCGUAGGCGGUUUUUUAGUCUGAUGUGAAAGCCCACGGCUCAACCGUGGAGGGUCAUUGGAAACUGGAAAACUUGAGUGCAGAAGAGGAAAGUGGAAUUCCAUGUGUAGCGGUGAAAUGCGCAGAGAUAUGGAGGAACACCAGUGGCGAAGGCGACUUUCUGGUCUGUAACUGACGCUGAUGUGCGAAAGCGUGGGGAUCAAACAGGAUUAGAUACCCUGGUAGUCCACGCCGUAAACGAUGAGUGCUAAGUGUUAGGGGGUUUCCGCCCCUUAGUGCUGCAGCUAACGCAUUAAGCACUCCGCCUGGGGAGUACGACCGCAAGGUUGAAACUCAAAGGAAUUGACGGGGACCCGCACAAGCGGUGGAGCAUGUGGUUUAAUUCGAAGCAACGCGAAGAACCUUACCAAAUCUUGACAUCCUUUGACCCUUCUAGAGAUAGAAGUUUCCCCUUCGGGGGACAAAGUGACAGGUGGUGCAUGGUUGUCGUCAGCUCGUGUCGUGAGAUGUUGGGUUAAGUCCCGCAACGAGCGCAACCCUUAAGCUUAGUUGCCAUCAUUAAGUUGGGCACUCUAAGUUGACUGCCGGUGACAAACCGGAGGAAGGUGGGGAUGACGUCAAAUCAUCAUGCCCCUUAUGAUUUGGGCUACACACGUGCUACAAUGGACAAUACAAAGGGCAGCGAAACCGCGAGGUCAAGCAAAUCCCAUAAAGUUGUUCUCAGUUCGGAUUGUAGUCUGCAACUCGACUACAUGAAGCUGGAAUCGCUAGUAAUCGUAGAUCAGCAUGCUACGGUGAAUACGUUCCCGGGUCU